UCUUGAGUUUCUUCUACAAUCAUUAGAACUUUAGAAGUCCCAUCUUCAUUCAGAAGAUUCAGUUUCGUAUAUCAUUUUCAAGAAUUCUGUUCUUGCAUUAUAGGAAAAGUCCCAUCUUCAUUCAGAAGAUUCAGUUGAUUUCAAAUAUUCACAUAUAUAAAAAAUAAUUUCGGUUCUGCGUAUCUAUAUUUUUGGUUUCAAGUGUAUAUAUAUACAUUUGUUGUAAGUUUAUACAUGAUGACACCAACCGACAUGGCAAAACAAGUACAUAUAUGUAUAUUCUAAUUCUGUUUGUCAACAUCUAUAAAUCAUAUUUAUGCACGCACUAAUAAUUCGUUCGUUAAGCAUAUAUGCUAAGAUACAGUAUCAAUACACACUUGCACAAAACAUAUUCAUGCUUAUUCAUUUUGGUUCAAUAAGACGAUUGUUUGAACUAUUUGAUUAUCGUCCAAUUAGCCAUAGUCGAAAAAAAAUCUGUAGGUCUCCCUUUUCCAUCAAUCACAUAAAAGUAAAAAAGGACUUCUUGGGUAGUCAAUUUCGUACCAUAUAUGCAAAUGAUGUGG
Molecule: long non-coding RNA, 563 nt
Filed under: Brassica napus (rape)
Lineage: Eukaryota; Viridiplantae; Streptophyta; Magnoliopsida; Brassicales; Brassicaceae
Description: long non-coding RNA (BNAP_LNC014353)
Source: RNAcentral